This is a non-coding RNA of Podarcis lilfordi (Lilford's wall lizard), 83 nucleotides long. NCBI's taxonomy places the organism in Eukaryota, Metazoa, Chordata, Lepidosauria, Squamata, Lacertidae. The record is from the annotation of a GenBank genome assembly.
ACCCAAGACAGCUGAAAAGGGGCAGUUGGUAGAGCAUGAGACCCUUAAUCUCAGGAUCAUGGGUUCAAACCCCAUGUUGGGAA